UAGCUCAGUUGGUAGAGCAUGGUGUUUGCAACGCCAGGGUUGUGGGUUCGAUUCCAC
Molecule: non-coding RNA, 57 nt
Organism: Salmo salar (Atlantic salmon)
Lineage: Eukaryota; Metazoa; Chordata; Actinopteri; Salmoniformes; Salmonidae
Source: Rfam